UACAGAGGUCCCGAGCGUUGUUCGGAUUCAUUGGGCUUAAAGGGUGCGUAGGUGGCGAGGUAAGUCGGAUGUGAAAGCUCGGAGCUCAACUCCGAAAUGGCAUUGGAAACUACCUUGCUCGAGGGUUGGAGGGGGGACUGGAAUACUUGGUGUAGCAGUGAAAUGCGUAGAUAUCAAGUGGAACACCAGUGGCGAAGGCGAGUCCCUGGACAACUCCUGACACUGAGGCACGAAAGCUAGGGGAGCAAACAGG
RNAcentral lists this ribosomal RNA (253 nucleotides) under uncultured bacterium. RNAcentral's name for it is "partial 16S ribosomal RNA". It matches the Rfam family "Bacterial small subunit ribosomal RNA", at positions 524 to 776 of the family's 1533-position model. The record is from RNAcentral.